RNAcentral lists this ribosomal RNA (263 nucleotides) under uncultured bacterium. RNAcentral describes it as "partial 16S ribosomal RNA". It matches the Rfam family "Bacterial small subunit ribosomal RNA", at positions 793 to 1055 of the family's 1533-position model. The record is from RNAcentral.
GUCCUAGCCGUAAACGGUGGGCACUAGGUGUAGGAGGCAUCGACCCCUCCUGUGCCGUAGCUAACGCAUUAAGUGCCCCGCCUGGGGAGUACGACCGCAAGGUUGAAACUCAAAGGAAUUGACGGGGGCCCGCACAAGCGGUGGAGCAUGUGGUUUAAUUCGAUGCAACGCGAAGAACCUUACCCAGGUUUGACAUGCACCGGACAGGUGUGGAAACACACCCUCCCUUCGGGGUCGGUGCACAGGUGCUGCAUGGCUGUCGU